UGUGUGAUGCCAUGCAGCCUGGCAAGUUUAGUGUACCAUCCUUGUAGGGCUGUGCCAUGUGAUACCAUGUCAUGCUGGCUGACAGAGGUGCCAGCCCUAGCUCUGCUGUCCUCCUUGCAGGCUGUGCCAUGCCAGGCCCAAAAAUACCACACUUCCCAAGACAGAAGUGCCACUCCUGCAUGGCUGUGCCGUGCUUUGCUGUGCCAUGCCAUGUCAUCCAAGCUGUCCAAGUUUAAUUGUGUUAUCCAUGCUGGUCUAUGCCAUGCCAUGCCAUACCAUGUUGUGCCAUCAGCACUGUGCCAUGCUAUGGUGUCCCACACCAUGCCAUGCCAUCUUCUCCCUGCCUAUAUUGCCCAGGAUGUCUCCCAAGCAGGACACAACACACCCCCUGCAGCACAGGACAUGCUCCCAUUGGGACAGACAUGUCCCCAUUAUAACACAGCAUGUCCCCAGUGGCACAGAACACAUCCCCUGCAGGACAGGACACAACCCCCUGCACAGAGACAGGCACAGGGGCAGCCCCAGCCAGGUCUCACAGCAGCAGGCGAUGGGAAGCGCCGCCAGUGAAAGGAAACAGCGCGGAUGGAAAUCUGUUCCCUGCCAUCCACAGGGACAUGAAUUAAGGAUGCUCUGGGAGCCGGCACCGCAUUCCUCCUGGGGGUCCAUGGACCCCCCCCCGGGCAGGGCCAUGCCAUCCCCCCACUCUUGCCAGCCGUGGGAAGCCGUGCAAGCUGCGGCAGCUCGCUUCUGAAGACCUCUUGAUAAACAUUUAUAAACAUUUGUAGUAUUUUAAAUUUCCCCUCAAUAAUUUAUGACUAGUUAUUUUAUAUACUUUAAAGUGGGUAAUAAUGUAAAAUUCAUAAGGCGGGAGCGCUCGGAGUGGCAGCGCAGCAUCGCGGGGCUGGGAGCGGAGGCGCAGCCUUCCCCGCCUCCCACAGCUGGAAAAAGCUGGAAAGUUUGGGGCUGCCGUGGCUGUAGCAGAGAGAGCUGAGAGGUUCCUGCUUAGCAGCUCCCCCUCUGCGCAGCUGCUCCAAGGAGUUGACACCGCAAUUGUUUUCUGAAGAGAACAUGCGACUCCCUUCUUAUGUAUUCCCUUUCCCGGUGUUUGUAUUUGCUUCAAAGUCUUCUCAUCACCCUGUUUGGUGACAAAAACUCAUGUCUGGAGAUCAGGAGGCUCGUUCCUGAUUGAUCUGGAAGCAGCAGCUCGGUGCGAGGGAAGGAGUCUAUACGCACCGCAACAGCUCUUUAAUUUCUUAAUUUAAUAUCUGACACGUAAAGAUUCUCAUUAAGCCAGUCAAUGAAGCCUGGAAAUACAAUUUUCGUGCAAACUGUCGCUAUCAUAACUUACACGAAACUUCAGCUGGUGCCCUGUGAGCGGCGUGAUUAAAACCAUUCAUCUUCCC
Coturnix japonica (Japanese quail) is the source of this 1403-nucleotide long non-coding RNA. RefSeq lists it as uncharacterized. The record is from RefSeq and is a predicted model, not a curated record. Lineage: Eukaryota; Metazoa; Chordata; Aves; Galliformes; Phasianidae.